AACGAACGCUGGCGGCAUGCCUAACACAUGCAAGUCGAACGAGACCUUCGGGUCUAGUGGCGCACGGGUGCGUAACGCGGGGGAACCUGCCUUUAGGUUCGGAAUAACUCAGAGAAAUUUGAGCUAAUACCGGAUGAUGUCUUCGGACCAAAGAUUUAUCGCCUUUAGAUGGGCCCGCGUUGGAUUAGCUAGUUGGUGGGGUAAAGGCCUACCAAGGCGACGAUCCAUAGCUGGUCUGAGAGGAUGAUCAGCCACACUGGGACUGAGACACGGCCCAGACUCCUACGGGAGGCAGCAGUGGGGAAUAUUGGACAAUGGGCGAAAGCCUGAUCCAGCAAUGCCGCGUGAGUGAUGAAGGCCUUAGGGUUGUAAAGCUCUUUUACCCGAGAUGAUAAUGACAGUAUCGGGAGAAUAAGCUCCGGCUAACUCCGUG
This 433-nucleotide ribosomal RNA is filed under the name uncultured bacterium. RNAcentral's name for it is "partial 16S ribosomal RNA". It matches the Rfam family "Bacterial small subunit ribosomal RNA", at positions 29 to 507 of the family's 1533-position model. The record is from RNAcentral.